UACGAAGGGGGCUAGCGUUGUUCGGAAUUACUGGGCGUAAAGCGCGCGCAGGCGGCCCAUCAAGUCAGGGGUGAAAGCCCGGAGCUCAGCUCCGGAAUUGCCUUUGAAACUGGUGGGCUUGAGUACGGGAGAGGUGAGUGGAAUUCCCAGUGUAGAGGUGAAAUUCGUAGAUAUUGGGAAGAACACCGGUGGCGAAGGCGGCUCACUGGCCCGUUUCUGACGCUCAGGCGCGACAGCGUGGGGAUCAAACAGG
This 253-nucleotide ribosomal RNA is filed under the name uncultured bacterium. RNAcentral's name for it is "partial 16S ribosomal RNA". It matches the Rfam family "Bacterial small subunit ribosomal RNA", at positions 524 to 776 of the family's 1533-position model. The record is from RNAcentral.